UACGAAGGGGGCUAGCGUUGCUCGGAAUCACUGGGCGUAAAGCGCACGUAGGCGGAUUGCUAAGUCAGGGGUGAAAUCCUGGAGCUCAACUCCAGAACUGCCUUUGAUACUGGCGAUCUUGAGUCCGGGAGAGGUGAGUGGAACUGCGAGUGUAGAGGUGAAAUUCGUAGAUAUUCGCAAGAACACCAGUGGCGAAGGCGGCUCACUGGCCCGGUACUGACGCUGAGGUGCGAAAGCGUGGGGGAGCAAACAGGG
Molecule: ribosomal RNA, 255 nt
Filed under: uncultured bacterium
Lineage: Bacteria
Description: partial 16S ribosomal RNA
Rfam family: Bacterial small subunit ribosomal RNA
Source: RNAcentral